UGGGGAAUAUUGGACAAUGGGCGCAAGCCUGAUCCAGCCUUGCCGCGUGAGUGAUGAAGGCCCUAGGGUUGUAAAGCUUUUUCACCGGUGAAGAUAAUGACGGUAACCGGAGAAGAAGCCCCGGCUAACUUCGUGCCCGCAGCCGCGGUAAUACGAAGGGGGCUAGCGUUGUUCGGAUUUACUGGGCGUAAAGCGCACGUAGGCGGACUAUUAAGUCAGGGGUGAAAUCCCGGGGCUCAACCCCGGAACUGCCUUUGAUACUGGUAGUCUUGAGUUCGAGAGAGGUGAGUGGAAUUCCGAGUGUAGAGGUGAAAUUCGUAGAUAUUCGGAGGAACACCAGUGGCGAAGGCGGCUCACUGGCUCGAUACUGACGCUGAGGUGCGAAAGCGUGGGGAGCAAACAGG
This 404-nucleotide ribosomal RNA is filed under the name Actinomycetes bacterium. Its description in RNAcentral is "Actinobacteria bacterium partial 16S ribosomal RNA". It matches the Rfam family "Bacterial small subunit ribosomal RNA", at positions 355 to 776 of the family's 1533-position model. Lineage: Bacteria; Bacillati; Actinomycetota; Actinomycetes. The record is from RNAcentral.